ACUACAGUCAAGCUUUCUGUCAGAAUCUGUGGAACCUGAGGCAAACUGAGGAAAUUGCUGACUUGUGAAGAUGCCAGACUUUUGUGCAGCCUAUGGAUGCGCUAAUCAACGUUGUCUGGAAGUGAGAACCCGUGGGAUUACCUUUCACCAGUUUUAUCUUGCAGCCAUGCACUUCAAUGAGAAUGCGGAGUCCCCACAACGGAAGAGAGCCAAGGAGAAACUAUGUACAGACAAACAAUUUAUCAUCAAAGACCCUGUUCAUUGGGAUGCCGUCCAGCGGAUUCCUGUGCCACAGGACUUGUGUGCUCAGCUUGACAGACCUUCCAUGGAGG
Alosa alosa (allis shad) is the source of this 332-nucleotide long non-coding RNA. RefSeq lists it as uncharacterized. The record is from RefSeq and is a predicted model, not a curated record. Lineage: Eukaryota; Metazoa; Chordata; Actinopteri; Clupeiformes; Clupeidae. The transcript has 4 exons.